GUAGGGAAUAUUGUGCAAUGGGGGAAACCCUGACGCAGCGACGCCGCGUGAGUGAUGAAGGCCUUCGGGUCGUAAAGCUCUGUUGCAGGGGAAUAAAAAAAUGAAGGUACCCUGUGAGGAAGGAUCGGCUAACUUCGUGCCAGCAGCCGCGGUAAGACGAGGGAUCCUAGCGUUGCUCGGAAUCAUUGGGCGUAAAGAGGGCGUAGGUGGCUUGGUAAGUCAGGUGUGAAAGCCCAGGGCUCAACCCUGGGAGUGCAUUUGAUACUGCUGAGCUUGAGUGUCGGAGAGGUUACCGGAAUACCUGGUGUAGUGGUGAAAUACGUAGAUAUCAGGUGGAACACCGGAGGCGAAGGCGGGUAACUGGACGAACACUGACACUGAGGCACGAAAGCGUGGGGAUCAAACAGGAUUAGAUACCCUAGUAGUCC
Molecule: ribosomal RNA, 428 nt
Filed under: uncultured bacterium
Lineage: Bacteria
Description: partial 16S ribosomal RNA
Rfam family: Bacterial small subunit ribosomal RNA
Source: RNAcentral